RNAcentral lists this transfer RNA (73 nucleotides) under Nocardiopsis aegyptia. RNAcentral's name for it is "tRNA-Leu". It matches the Rfam family "tRNA". From Rfam's summary of the family: Transfer RNA (tRNA) molecules are approximately 80 nucleotides in length. Their secondary structure includes four short double-helical elements and three loops (D, anti-codon, and T loops). Lineage: Bacteria; Bacillati; Actinomycetota; Actinomycetes; Streptosporangiales; Nocardiopsidaceae. The record is from RNAcentral.
GCCCUGAUACCCCAACGGCAGAGGGAAUGGUCUCAAACACCAUCAAGUGUGGGUUCGAAUCCCACUCAGGGCA